This 468-nucleotide ribosomal RNA is filed under the name uncultured bacterium. RNAcentral's name for it is "partial 16S ribosomal RNA". It matches the Rfam family "Bacterial small subunit ribosomal RNA", at positions 28 to 507 of the family's 1533-position model. The record is from RNAcentral.
GAUGAACGCUGGCGGCGUGCUUAACACAUGCAAGUCGAACGGAAAGGCCAGUGCUUGCACUGGUACUCGAGUGGCGAACGGGUGAGUAACACGUGGGUGAUCUGCCCUGCACUUCGGGAUAAGCCUGGGAAACUGGGUCUAAUACCGGAUAGGACAAUGGUUUGGAUGCCGUUGUGGAAAGUUUUUUCGGUGUGGGAUGAGCUCGCGGCCUAUCAGCUUGUUGGUGGGGUAAUGGCCUACCAAGGCGUCGACGGGUAGCCGGCCUGAGAGGGUGUACGGCCACAUUGGGACUGAGAUACGGCCCGGACUCCUACGGGAGGCAGCAGUGGGGAAUAUUGCACAAUGGGCGCAAGCCUGAUGCAGCGACGCCGCGUGGGGGAUGACGGCCUUCGGGUUGUAAACUCCUUUCGCUAGGGACGAAGCGUAUUUGUGACGGUACCUGGAGAAGAAGCACCGGCUAACUACGUG